Molecule: long non-coding RNA, 1770 nt
Organism: Triticum dicoccoides
Lineage: Eukaryota; Viridiplantae; Streptophyta; Magnoliopsida; Poales; Poaceae
Exons: 4
Source: RefSeq, a predicted model, not a curated record
CAGUCGGCCAUGGAUGUAUAUGGAUGAAAGACCCAAAAGUACUUUUUUCAGAUGAUUUAUAAUUACAGUCGGCCAUGGAUGUAUAUGGAUGAAAGACCCAAAAGUACCUUUUCAGUGAUUUAUAAUUACAGUUGACCAUGGAUGUAUGGAUGAGGUUUUGUUGCGAUGUCCAAGGUGCACUUAAUGGAAGCCGGUAAAAGACCUUGCAGCGCACCCAAGCCAGCAGAGCAUUUUUUGGUAUUUGAAUCAGGAACUAUGACACUGGACAAUGAGGAGGAGAGGAGCAGGGUCCUGGUAAUUGGUGGCACAGGUCACAUCGGAUAGGCAAGCAUAUUGUUGUACCUCUGUCCUCAUGAGCUAGGGAUGCUGCGCCUUUUGAUCCAGCCAAGGCGCAGCUCCUCAAAAGCUUGAUCGACUCCGGUGUCGUUGCUCUCAUCAUCAAGAGAUAUUUAUUUGACCACGGGAGCCUCGUAGAUGCAAUCAAAGUUGUCAUCUCUGCCGUGGGGCGCUGUCAGCUCGACGAGCAGAUGAGGAUUGUCAUGGCAAUCAAGGAGGCCGGCAAUCUCAUCAAGGUCAGUCAGGUUAUCAACUUGUCUUGUUUCUUGGUGGAACCAUGUGGCUACAGAUCGAUCACUGGAUAGUUGAUGUUGAGAGGUUCCUGCCUGCCAUCCAAGUUUGGCUCUGACGUAGAGAGGGUUCACACCGUGGAUCCAGCGGCCACACUGUACAGUGUACACUGGUAAAACCAGGCUUCACUGUCUGAUCGAGGCAGAGGGUAUGUAUGCCUCAUACAUACAUUUGUCUGCUGCAACGGGUUCGCCGAAACCUACCUUCCGAGCAUCUGCGAUGUUGCAGCCGUUGGCGCCGGUCCUCCAUCUGACAAGAUCACGGUCCUAGGCGAUGGAGAUGCAAAAGCGGUGUUUGUGGUGGAAGAAGACAUAGCUGCCUACAAAGUGAGAGCGAUCGAUGACCCGAGGACCCUCAACUGAACAAUAUCCUCUACAUGAGGCCGCCAGUGAACAUGGUGUCCCACAAUGAGUUCAUCGCCAUGUGGGAGAGGAAAACAGGCAGGACUUCCUCGGAUCGAGCGUAUUUCGGAGGCGGAUCUCCUGAAGCUGAUCAAGGGUAGGAAGGGUACAUGCAUCAUUGUGCACCUCCCAGGCACGCAUAUGGUGGUCUGUACUGUACAUAGUUGCAGCUGUGGAUCUGUAAUCAUGCAGAGGCAGGCAGCGUUCCCUCUCCCUCUCAACAUACAUACUGCUGCCCCUCUCGCUCUCUGUCUUGGUCAGGUGUCACCAGGCCAACUUCAAUACCAAGCCGUCCUUUGGCGUCGAGGCCACCGAGGUGUUGCUCGACGUCGAUGACCGCCUCCUUUGACAGGUCUUGGCUGGCUGGAAUGGCACCCCUGACAAGAGUUGACGUCCACAAUAAAGAUGACUACCAACACGCAAGGCACAACACCAUCAUCCAAAGAUAUGCCAUGCCCUACCCCUGAUUGGGCAAUGACUUUCACGAAAAUGGCACCCACCACCGGUAGGGGUGGAGUGGCUAGGGUUUUCUUCUCUACUCCCUUCACAAGGAAGCACUCGUAAUCAUUGGAUGCAACGAAGAUCAACGGCUGACAUGUGGUGGACUAUGUGGGCUGAUGUUGGGCUGCCAACACACCUCCAUGUGGAGGGCCUUAGCCUAACAUACAAUACAGAUUUUGUAUCUUGUACACGAGAAUAGCAUCAAAUUUGACUGGCUUUGGUGCGGCAUGCUCAGUUUGCC